GUCUCCAGUGUCCAGUCUCCACUUCCAUGGAAAUAGUUUUUGUUUUUCUUUCUUCUUCUCUCUUACAGCCUACGGGCUACCCUCUGCCGUUCUCUCACCUCAAGUCUAAAACCCCUCUCUUUCUCUCUCUGUAUUUCAAUGGCAGACCCUGUUAUGUCGUGUAGAGAAAUGAAAGCUUAGCAGUACCAAACCAGUCACAGUCUUCCCCUACUUCACAUUCACAGAUAAUGAUUGGUUGGAACUAUGGUACCUUCUCUCGAACCAUCUUCUAUUUUUGAGUUCUGUUUGGUGGUUAGAGAUGUAAAUGUGUGAGGUUUGGUGCUUGACUUUUCACCUGGCCAAGGUUAGCCUUUGUCCGACAUGAGGAUCUUUUGGUGAUGAUGUAUAUUUCUAAGAAUGGCACUAGCAUUGGCCAGAGAAGUUCUAGUGCAACCCCGCUUCACUGUGAGUUAUUCAUUGGGAUUUCGUGUGGCUGCGACUGUUCUGAGGACCAUUUUCAUUAAUCACAAUAGAGAAUUUCUUAGGAAAAAUGUUGGGACUUAUCAAAUAUCAGGUGUUUACUACAGAUGGUAUCAGAACCCAUAUCUUCAAAAAAUUUCUACUAGCACUCACCCUGAAAGGAUAUGUUGGGAAGGUUCCUCGCAUGCAGUUCUGCUGAGAAAGCUUGAAACUGCCUUGAAGGAUCACCAAUUGGAUGAAGUAUGGGAAUCUUUUAAUGAUUUUAAAAACUUGUAUGGAUUCCCUAAGGGUAGUCUUUUUGGUAAGUUGAUCAAUGAACUGUCAUAUUCAUCCAACCCACACUGGCUUCAGAAGGCAUGUGAUUUAGUCUUGCUAGUUUUGAAAGAGGAAUCGGGUUUACUUCAAUCGGAUACCCUAAUUAAGUUGUCCCUUUCCUUAGCAAGAUCUCAAUUGCCUAUCCCUGCCUCAAUGAUUCUUAGAGUGAUUCUGGAGAAAGAGACUUUACCCCCAAUGAAUGUAUUGUGGUUAGUUGUUCUGCAUAUGGUGAAGACAGAGAUUGGGACAUACAUCGCUUCAAAUUUCUUGGUUCAGGUUUGUGAUUGUUUCCAACACUUAAAUGUGAAUAAAAAUGACCGGGCAAAGCUGAUAAAACCAGAUACAAUGAUCUUUAACCUAGUGCUUGAUGCUUGUGUGAGGUUUGAAUUGUCUUUUAAAGGCCAACAGAUCAUUGAAUUGAUGUCUCAGACAGGGGUUGUAGCUGAUGCACAUUCAAUCACUAUUAUUGCCCAGAUUCAUGAGAUGAAUGGUCAGAGGGAUGAGCUGAAGAAAUUUAAAGACCACAUUGAUCGAGUUUCAGCUCCAUUUGUUUUUCAUUAUCGGCAGUUCUAUGAUAGUUUGUUGAGCUUGCACUUCAAGUUUAAUGACAUUGAUUCUGCUGCUGAUCUUGUGUUGUAUAUAUAUAGAGACCGGGAAUCUUUUCCCAUUCAAAAUGUUAGGAAGGAACUACAAAAGCCUCAUUUUGUUCCAUUGGGAUCUGAAAAUCUCAAGACAGGGUUGAAGAUACAGAUUGUACCUGAGAUGCUGCAGAAGGAUUCUAUCCUCAAAGUGGAAGGUAAACAAGAACUUGUUACUUUUAGGAAUGGGAAACUCACCCUUAGCAAUAAGGCCCUGGCCAAGCUCAUUAAUGGAUACAAGAGAGUUGGGAAGAUUAGUGAUAUAUCAAAAUUUUUACUUAGCAUUCAGAAGAAGUCACAUUCAUUGGAGGUAUCCAGAUUGUGCUCUGACGUGAUUGAUGCUUGCAUUAAAUUGCACUGGCUUGAAACUGCUCAUGACAUUUUGGAUGACAUGGAAUCCGCUGGAGCUCCCAUGGGCUGUACUACUUACUUGUCACUCUUGGCUGCCUACGACAAGGAAAAGAUGUUUAGGGAAGCAAAGGCACUGCUUAAACAAAUGAGAAAAGCUGGUAUGGUCUUAAAUUUCUCUGAUGAGAUGGUUGUUUCCAUCUGUCGAUCAGAAGCAGUAGAUAAAAAUGCCAUGCUUGCCUCAUCAACGGUGAUCAGUAAAUCAGAUCUGGCUGAGUUUUUGGUUCGAGAGAUGAGAGAGGAGAAUGCUGUUCCUCCUACUGUUUAUGAGUUCAAUUCUUCUAUUUACUUCUUCUUUAAGGCCAAAAUGUUAGCAGAUGCUUUGAAAACAUACAGAAGAAUGCUGGAGAUGAAAAUCCAGCCUACAGUGCAAACGUUUUCUAAUCUGGUAUGUGGAUAUUCUUCUCUAGGAAUGUAUCGUGAUAUCACAAUCAUCUGGGGGGACAUCAAGAGAAAUAUGGAGAGUGGAAAUUUGGUAGCGAGCAGAGAUCUCUAUGAGUUCUUGCUACUGAGUUUUCUUCGAGGUGGUUACUUUGAGAGAGUGAUGGAGGUCAUUGGUUAUAUGAAAGAGCAUGGUAUGUUCACUGACAAGUGGAUGUACAAACGUGAGUUUCUAAAGCUUCAUAUGAAUCUUUAUAGGAGGCUAAAAGCAUCAAAAGCUAGAACUGAUGCUCAAAGCAAAAGGCUUGAGUAUGUCCAGGCAUUUAGGAAAUGGGUUGGCAUAGAUUGAAGUUCAAUAAGGAAGUUCUUAAAUGCAAGGGAUGCUCAAAGCAAAAUGCUUGAGUAUGUCCAGGCAUUUAGGAAUAUGAGAGAUUGGUCACUCUUGUUUACUUUAAUCAUGUAGUGCCUCUGAAUGUUAUGUUUAAAGGGAUGCAUAGCUGGAACAAUAAUCUUGUUUCUGAGCUAAUGGAAUAGUUCUCAAAUCCUUAUACUCAAUGAGAAAUUGUUCUUCAUGUAACUCCUUCCACUGAUAAUUCAAUGCUGGGUAAUGAUAUCUUUCUUAUAAGCCAGACUUUUGAUUGGUUCCAGUGAUAUCACAUUUAAUCACUUGGCAACUCAGUGUUUAACUUAGUUGGAUCUGCUAUUUAUCUCCGACAAAUUACAGGUCAAGAUAAAACAGUUAUUCUAAAUUCAGGACGUUAUUGUUGGCCUAGGCAGCUGGUGGCUAUUUCCUAAGCUGGGCUUUGUUGGUCCGACUGUACAAGACUACCUUGGUUGGCUGGGUUUGUAAUCUCUUCUUUUAAUUGCAGUAGGCUGCCUUGAAUGUUGGGUGUUCUAUGAUGCCAUACUAGAUGUGGGUUCUCCAUGAAGAUAUAACUCCAUUAUACAAGCCUAGUUUUGGGGGAAGGAGAUGUGAAUGAUAUUAGCAUGAAAUGAUAUUUUAAUUUAUGACUUUAUCUUAAUACAUACAUUACAAUGCCAUCCUAUGUUAUAAUGUUGAUGUAAAAUGAAUAUAGUUGUGUGCUUUUGGGUUCAAUUUUUGGAUUUCACUUUAUAAAGUUCGGAGCACAUCUCAAAAAAAAUUGUCUUGUAAGUGAUGCAUGGGAUGGGUUUUCACUGGAACUAUUACUUUUGAUGAUACUUUAAAUAAACACCACCAAAGAUUAGCCAUAACAUACUGGCUUUACCUUCCGCUGUGUACCGGGAAUAAA
RNA transcript from Quercus robur (English oak), 3472 nucleotides. It is a transcript of the gene named sodium/hydrogen exchanger 4, with no coding region annotated. The record is from RefSeq and is a predicted model, not a curated record. The transcript is spliced from 3 exons. NCBI's taxonomy places the organism in Eukaryota, Viridiplantae, Streptophyta, Magnoliopsida, Fagales, Fagaceae.